AAAAUGCAAUGCCAUCUCUUUCAUAGCAAUUUUUAAGAGGGAAUCAAUGCUUGGGAUAUGCUGAGAAGUGGAUUCAUAAGCAAAAUAUCAUUUUAGGCUGGGAGUAUACUGCACUCAGAUUGAACACGCUACCCUGAUGCCACUAUAAGCACAACAUCAAACUACUUAGCAUACUUAAACAUUCAUUAAAGUGAAUUAAGAUACACCAGUAAUUAUGACAAUAUAACUUCAAAAAAACUUUUCCUUACUUUUGCUCAACUUAAAAAAAAACGAUUGCAUCACAAGGCAAAUCUGCCCUCUUAAAGUUGAACACACUACAUGUACGCACAAAUCAGCUUCACAGAAGAAAGAAAACUAAGUCAAUCUAAACCAAACAAAAUGCCCCAAUUCAGUGUUAACAAUCCCCUCAUAAAACUUUAAAAAAACUUUCCUCGAUCUGUUGAGGAAACGAAAGAAGCUAAGACUAAUACAAACAUCAAGAGAUCUGAUUCUGACCAAGAUCAUAAAAAAAAACAGAGCCGAAGAAGAAGCAAAAGUAGGAACCAAAAAAAAGUUUCAGCAAUUAAACAAACCAACAAUAUCCAUCAAACAAAGGUAAUAGGACAGCUGACAUAUGAACAAUUUCCAUCAGUUAUUAUUCCCAAACAAAUCUGCAGGUUCAUGUCAUUUAAUAAAGAGCCGUACCCGGACAACAAAAAAUGGCAACCAAAAUGCCAAAUAAAACUCAAGGAAAAUGUGAAGAGAGUUCUAGCAAACAAAGGUCCAGCGAAUCAACUAGCCAACUCCCAAAUGCAACAUAAAUUCGGAUGGAAAUUCACAGCUCCAAAGCUCCGAACCCCAGCGACAAAACCCGACUUAUACUUCAAAUCAAAAACAUUAUUGAAAACCAGAGAUCAAAGAGAAAUGCUGAGAUUUGUAAUUUUUGAUUCCUUUCGAAAUAAAAUAAUACUUGAAUCGAAAAUUAAAACUCAGACUAUAACUUUUAUAUUUUUUUUUUGAAAAGAUGCAGACUGAAAUUUAAAAGAAAAGGCUUGAAGAAAUGGAAAACUCCAAGAACCCUAGAAUUUUACUCCCUAAUUUUCUGAAAAUUUCUUUUUUCCUCUAACAAGAAAAGAACUCACCUUAUAUAUAAACCUCAAAAUAUCUCGAAGCUUCUGCCUAGAAUCCGAAAAUCUUCAGAUUUUUGAACAAUUUCGGGACAAAUGGAGGGCGUGGAUUGAUUCAUAUCUAUCCAUGACUCCCAUUCGUCCAACAAUUAUCCUUUUGAAUUUGAAAUCGUGCAAUUUUGAGAGAAUAUCGUACUCCUCGGACAAAUCUAUUGAGUAUAAGGUGACGUGGAGGGAGGGGACCAAUGAAUGAACUCACUCAAAACUCAAACGAGUUGAGGCGAAGAAGAAGAACAGUAGAGGGAGGGGGGGCACC
RNAcentral lists this long non-coding RNA (1422 nucleotides) under Nicotiana tabacum (common tobacco). RNAcentral's name for it is "long non-coding RNA (NTAB_LNC009216)". The record is from RNAcentral. Lineage: Eukaryota; Viridiplantae; Streptophyta; Magnoliopsida; Solanales; Solanaceae.